UGUGGAAAAAGAGACCAUCUGGAAAGAAUGCUGUGGUUUCACAGAGCCAACAUUAUUCUCUACCUCCCCUUCCUCUUCCUCUUUCUUUAUGGAUGGCAAACAGUGUUCAGAUGACAGAUUUUGGAAAAUUGUCUUAGGAGGUGCAUUCUCAGGCAGUUCCAGUGUGUGGGUAUUUGGGAUGUUUCUGUGCAUUUUGUCAUACGGUUCAGAAGGGUGAUAGGCUUUUUGUGAACUCCUGGGCUUCAAGAAGGUUAUUAUCUUCCACUCAGUUUUAAUUGAGGAGUUUAUGGGAUCUUGCCACCCUGUGAGGUUCAUUGCUAGAAUUUCUGCGUUGGAUGUAUUAAGAAUCUACGGGGAGCCAAGGCACUGAGAAGUAUCAGGUAUUCCCUACAAUCGCUUCAUCUAAUGGAGUUCCCCCAAAUGUCAUGAUUCUCGUGACAAUCCACCCCAGACUGUGGUGAGAGACACAGAGCUACAGCAGUUUUGGUGGUGGUUAGUAUGACAUUGACCUGAAGUAGGCAAGAAUGUUUCUCAAGAGGUGAGAAAUGGCUAAAGAAAACUUUCAAAUGGGCCGGGCGCGGUGGCUCAAGCCUGUAAUCCCAGCUCUUUGGGAGGCCGAGACGGGUGGAUCACAAGGUCAAGAGAUCGAGACCAUCCCAGUCAACAUGGUGAAACCCCGUCUCUACUAAAAAUGCAAAAAAUUAGCUGGGCAUGGUGGUGUGUGCCUGUAAUCCCAGCUACUCGGGAGGCUGAGGCAGGAGAAUCGCCUGAACCCAGGAGGCGGAGGU
This is a non-coding RNA of Callithrix jacchus (white-tufted-ear marmoset), 788 nucleotides long. The record is from RefSeq and is a predicted model, not a curated record. Lineage: Eukaryota; Metazoa; Chordata; Mammalia; Primates; Cebidae.